UUACCACUGCGUAUUUCAGAUAUUGCUUAUUGUUAUUGAAUUGUGUUGUUAGGUGAACCUCUCGCUUUAGAUUGUUUGGGGUGGGAUAGGGAGGGGUUGUAUUUGUUAGUUGAAGAUUGUAACUCGCUGAGUAAUGCUAGAUUACUCACUCCUCACUCGUUGUUGUUUUCAGGUGAUCAGUAGUGAGCUUGUAGAAGGCGCGGGAGGCUAGGCUAGCUGGUGUACUUUCGCUUUCUUGGCAUGCCACCAGUUGUAUAAUAUUUUGUGUAUUGUAAACCAGAUAUUAUAUAAAAUAAAUAAAGCGAAUGUUUUAUGCAAAUGCCUUGUUGUUCUGAUAUUAGCUUGUCCGAGCUAACACAAAAUGUCAGAUUAGAGUACGGGUUGAGAAGCCUUAGGCUUUUGUCUGACGGGACGUGUUAGUGGGUGGCUGGCCUAGUUACGAAUUGCACCUUUUAUAACUUUGGCUGGAUUGCCCGUUAACCCGUCUUGUAGUGCUCUUGAACCUUGGUAGACGGUCGGGCCGUCGGUCAUGUUCUUGUUUGAUUGUUGGCCGGUGGUUCGACCUAUGCCUAGAACGGGUCGGGGGUGUUACAGAGGUGGUAUCAGAGCAUGGUUUCGUCCAUGCGUGACUCAAGUGCUUUUUAACGGUUUUAUCGAGUCAAAGGAGUCGCAAAAAGAUGAUUAGGAAACCAGCCGCUUCCCGUGGUAGGAAUAUGACUUACCCUUUUUAUUAUGUGCAGAUGGCUAAUCGCGGGACAGGUUAUGUUGGACGAGGUCGGAUAUGGGGAGAGGGUAUGGAUUGGACAGGCGGAGGAUUGGGUCACAGAUCAGAUCAGGAUAAUGGAAAUGGCAUUAGUGAGAUGUUUGGACACG
Molecule: long non-coding RNA, 873 nt
Filed under: Brassica napus (rape)
Lineage: Eukaryota; Viridiplantae; Streptophyta; Magnoliopsida; Brassicales; Brassicaceae
Description: long non-coding RNA (BNAP_LNC024184)
Source: RNAcentral